GGGCUCCGUGUUCCGGGGGAGUCUGCUGGAGGUUCUCUCUCCCUCUGCCCCUCCCCCUCUAAAAAAAUAAAAAUAAUAAUAAUAAAUGUUUCUUUCUUUUUUUUAAAGGCAAGGCCUCGAGGCUGCAUUUCCUGUGUGGACUCAGGGCAGGAGGGCCUGCGCGUGAGUGCGGUGGGGUCCGCGCUGGCAGUGCCGAAGCCCGUCACCGGCUCUCCAGGGGCCUUGUGCUCUCCCCUGCAUAUGCGCAGCUCUGGGUGCUAGUCUGCGCGUCUCAGCCCGCGGUCUGGGCCAGUGCGGGACAUGGAAAGGGAAACACAACGGUGACAGAAACUGCGCCAGCACACAGCCAGGUGGCAAGCUUGGGAAUGAGAUGGGCCUCUGCCUGUUGGGGUGUGUGACGCGCUCCAGAAGGAGAUGCUUUAGGAACGUCCUGGUGAUGGUCACAGAGAAACCACGGUGACCCCACAUGACCUGCUGUUUCCUGAGCAUGGAGGCCUAGGCUCUGAGUCAUGCUGGUGUCACGGUGCCCCCGGAAGUGGCCUUGAUGUGAGGGAGAUGAGGCCAAGCCCAGCCCCUUCCCCAAGGACCCAUGUGGCACAGAUGAGCCCCCCUCCCCCAGAAGUACCCCACAAGGGGGAAGGGAGUGGGGUGGCCCCCCCACCUCCCUGCACUCGGCCAGCUGGGGGCCAGCGGGGGCCACAAAGGAGGGGUUGGCAGGGGCCCCCCUCCAUGCUGGCUGGUCCCCAGCGCAGCACCCUCGUUCUUUACCAGGAAUUCUCUUUGGGGUUUCAGGGUUUCGAGGAGAGGCCUCCAGCCCCCACGGAACCCCCAACCCGCCGCCGCGACCCAAGCCGAAGCAAGGCCCGACCCGCACCGGCAAUACACUUCCACCAGGUGGCGCAGGGACGCCCCCGGGCUGGGCUGGGCUCUGCCCCCCUCCCCCCCGCGCGCCCAGGGAGCCCAGACCAUAAAAGCAGGGGACGCACACGUCGUUUUGCAGGAAACAGGCCAAACUGAUCUCAACGGUACGUCCUGUUUCAUCCAGUGUAGCCAGAAUGUGCCACUGCCGCGCGUCAUGGAUCUGAGGAGCCGCGGGGCGAGCCCCCCUCCAGCCGUCGAGCUCCCCCGUCACGGGGCAGCGGCCGGUCUCCACUCACCGCUGAGUUCUUGCCGGAAAUCGCCGAUCCUGCUCGGACGUCCCGGAACGUAGAAAAGGACAUUCCUUUGCCGAAGUUAUUCCAAACAUCCUUAGACGUUCUCGUAACCGAACCACCAUUAAAAUUUAGAUCUAACUUAGGGGGUGCGUGGGAGGCUCCAUCAUUGAGCAUCUGCCUUCUGCU
This is an RNA transcript of Lutra lutra (Eurasian river otter), 1340 nucleotides long. RefSeq lists it as uncharacterized. NCBI's taxonomy places the organism in Eukaryota, Metazoa, Chordata, Mammalia, Carnivora, Mustelidae. The record is from RefSeq and is a predicted model, not a curated record. The transcript is spliced from 3 exons.